RNAcentral lists this long non-coding RNA (1347 nucleotides) under Felis catus (domestic cat). RNAcentral's name for it is "lncRNA (ENSFCAG00000044654.2)". Lineage: Eukaryota; Metazoa; Chordata; Mammalia; Carnivora; Felidae. The record is from RNAcentral.
GUCACCCUUCUAAGCUGGAGCAGGAGAAAGCUUGCCUAAGAAAUUAUGUCCAAACCUGAAUCACACAAUGAGUCUUGACUGUUUCUCUAAGGGGUAUCGGUCCAGAGUUCCGUAGUUGGGGGUUUCUGCUGGGGCUGUGUGGAAGCAUAUUAUUUGAGCUAUUUGUAUCUCAUUAUUGAGAGAAGUUUGUCUGCUGCUCUGGGUUGUAGGCUUGGAGACUACCUCUUCACAGCUCACAUGGGCAGAUUUCCUAUUCCUCUUGUCCUUAGGAAUACUUCGUAAGACAGAAUGAUGACUGUCCAGGUUUUUCAGAGCCCUGCGCAGUGGGGAGAGCCUGCCUUGUCUUUUUGCUACCAUUGUACGCAGGACUGCUUUGUCUCAGCCGACAGAACCAGCAAGUCAGAAAGGAAGGGAGACUUUUGGAUCAGAACAGAUGAUUGAAAUGGAGACUGGAAACCCCUGAUCAUGUUGAAAGACACCGGAUCCGACUCUGGAAAUAACUAGCACAAAAUCAGAUUCCAUAAUCAUGAAAGAAACACCUGUGGGGCGCCAAGCAUCUCUCUUUGCAGAUAUAAGAUCACCGCCCUGGAGCAAGGGGAGAAGGCCACCUUUACUGGGUCCUGUAUAGGGCACUGCCUUAGCUGAGUUUCCUUCCUGCUCUGUGAGACAGAGAGAGUAUCAGACCCCACAAGAAGCUGCAUAACCCCCCUCCCCCUGCUUUCUCGGAGCCUGGGUCCACCCAGGUCUGACUGACUCCAAAGCAAGACUUGUUUACAGCAUGGAUAUGAUCCAACGGGUGGGAGAGACUGGUCAACAUUGAAAUCCAGAUGCAAUAAUAAAGCCUCAACCAAGCGCUGCAGGCAGCUGGAGGAGGCGACGCAACAAUACAGAUGGUCACAGAGGCCACCCCUCAUCUCCAAUAUCCUUUUCCAAAACGAGUAUGAGCGGCUCUACAAGCUUAUGGGAGCUAUACCUAAGCUGCUUAGAGAGCCGCUCAUACUACUGGGCACCGAGGACUCUAAUUACUCGGCCAGUAUUUCCCCCUGCACUCUAAACAAAACCACGGUCUUCUACCUCUUUCCCACGAAGCCCCUCAGACUGAGACACCACGGAGGUCACCACUCGCCUUCAGGAGCUGGCUGGUCACUAGCUCCUGCAUGUGCAGUCUCUCUCUCUCUCCCUCUCCUCAAAAAUAAAUUAGUUAAUUUACAAAAAGAAAUAUUGCAGUUAGAAGUUUGCUUCAGAAGACCCACCACACACACACACACACACACACACACACACACGCACGCACCUCAAUCUACACCUCAUCUUUUAAAAUCAAAACUACAUUUCUUCAAGUGUUAG